AUACGGAGGAUGCAAGCGUUAUCCGGAUUUAUUGGGUUUAAAGGGUGCGUAGGCGGUUUGCUAAGCGGGAGGUGAAAUGCCGGCGCUCAACGUCGGAAGUGCCUCCCGAACUGGUGGACUGGAAUGACUCUGCCGUGGGAGGAAUGUGUAGUGUAGCGGUGAAAUGCUUAGAGAUUACACAGAACACCGAUUGCGAAGGCAUCUCACGAAGGGUUGAUUGACGCUGAGGCACGAAAGCGUGGGGAUCAAACAGGAUUAGAUACCCUGGUAGUCCACGCAGUAAACGAUGAUGGCUAACCGCUGGUUUAUUCGGAUCAGUGGCCAAGCGAAAGCGAUAAGCAAUCCACCUGGGGAGUACGACCGCAAGGUUGAAACUCAAAUGAAUUGACGGGG
RNAcentral lists this ribosomal RNA (393 nucleotides) under uncultured bacterium. RNAcentral describes it as "partial 16S ribosomal RNA". It matches the Rfam family "Bacterial small subunit ribosomal RNA", at positions 523 to 918 of the family's 1533-position model. The record is from RNAcentral.